Molecule: ribosomal RNA, 535 nt
Filed under: uncultured bacterium
Lineage: Bacteria
Description: bacterial SSU rRNA
Rfam family: Bacterial small subunit ribosomal RNA
Source: RNAcentral
AAUAGAUACCCGGGUAGUCCACGCCGUAAACGAUGAGUGCUAAGUGUUAGAGGGUUUCCGCCCUUUAGUGCUGCAGCUAACGCAUUAAGCACUCCGCCUGGGGAGUACGGCCGCAAGGCUGAAACUCAAAGGAAUUGACGGGGGCCCGCACAAGCGGUGGAGCAUGUGGUUUAAUUCGAAGCAACGCGAAGAACCUUACCAGGUCUUGACAUCCUCUGACAACCCUAGAGAUAGGGCUUUCCCCUUCGGGGGACAGAGUGACAGGUGGUGCAUGGUAGUCGUCAGCUCGUGUCGUGAGAUGUUGGGUUAAGUCCCGCAACGAGCGCAACCCUUGAUCUUAGUUGCCAGCAUUCAGUUGGGCACUCUAAGGUGACUGCCGGUGACAAACCGGAGGAAGGUGGGGAUGACGUCAAAUCAUCAUGCCCCUUAUGACCUGGGCUACACACGUGCUACAAUGGAUGGUACAAAGGGCAGCGAAACCGCGAAGUUAAGCCAAUCCCAUAAAACCAUUCUCAGUUCGGAUUGCAGGCUGCAA